This 885-nucleotide ribosomal RNA is filed under the name Brevibacterium epidermidis. Its description in RNAcentral is "bacterial SSU rRNA". It matches the Rfam family "Bacterial small subunit ribosomal RNA", at positions 10 to 902 of the family's 1533-position model. The record is from RNAcentral. Lineage: Bacteria; Bacillati; Actinomycetota; Actinomycetes; Micrococcales; Brevibacteriaceae.
GGUUUGAAUCAUGGCUCAGGACGAACGCUGGCUGCGUGCUUAACACAUGCAAGUCGAACGCUGAAGCCGACAGCUUGCUGUUGGUGGAUGAGUGGCGAACGGGUGAGUAACACGUGAGUAACCUGCCCCUGAUUUCGGGAUAAGCCUGGGAAACUGGGUCUAAUACCGGAUAUGACCAAUCUUCGCAUGAGGGUUGGUGGAAAGUUUUUCGAUCGGGGAUGGGCUCGCGGCCUAUCAGCUUGUUGGUGGGGUAAUGGCCUACCAAGGCGACGACGGGUAGCCGGCCUGAGAGGGCGACCGGCCACACUGGGACUGAGACACGGCCCAGACUCCUACGGGAGGCAGCAGUGGGGAAUAUUGCACAAUGGGGGAAACCCUGAUGCAGCGACGCAGCGUGCGGGAUGACGGCCUUCGGGUUGUAAACCGCUUUCAGCAGGGAAGAAGCGAAAGUGACGGUACCUGCAGAAGAAGUACCGGCUAACUACGUGCCAGCAGCCGCGGUAAUACGUAGGGUACGAGCGUUGUCCGGAAUUAUUGGGCGUAAAGAGCUCGUAGGUGGUUGGUCACGUCUGCUGUGGAAACGCAACGCUUAACGUUGCGCGUGCAGUGGGUACGGGCUGACUAGAGUGCAGUAGGGGAGUCUGGAAUUCCUGGUGUAGCGGUGAAAUGCGCAGAUAUCAGGAGGAACACCGGUGGCGAAGGCGGGACUCUGGGCUGUAACUGACACUGAGGAGCGAAAGCAUGGGGAGCGAACAGGAUUAGAUACCCUGGUAGUCCAUGCCGUAAACGUUGGGCACUAGGUGUGGGGGACAUUCCACGUUCUCCGCGCCGUAGCUAACGCAUUAAGUGCCCCGCCUGGGGAGUACGGUCGCAAGGCUAAAACUC